RNAcentral lists this ribosomal RNA (301 nucleotides) under uncultured bacterium. RNAcentral describes it as "partial 16S ribosomal RNA". It matches the Rfam family "Bacterial small subunit ribosomal RNA", at positions 509 to 809 of the family's 1533-position model. The record is from RNAcentral.
CAGUCGCCACGGUAAUACGAAGGGUGCAAGCGUUAAUCGGAAUUACUGGGCGUAAAGCGUGCGUAGGCGGUUUGUUAAGUCUGUUGUGAAAUCCCCGGGCUCAACCUGGGAAUGGCAAUGGAUACUGGCAAGCUAGAGUGUGUCAGAGGAUGGUGGAAUUCCCGGUGUAGCGGUGAAAUGCGUAGAGAUCGGGAGGAACAUCAGUGGCGAAGGCGGCCAUCUGGGACAACACUGACGCUGAGGCACGAAAGCGUGGGGAGCAAACAGGAUUAGAUACCCCCGUAGUCCCUGUCUCUUAUAU